Molecule: long non-coding RNA, 507 nt
Filed under: Physcomitrium patens
Lineage: Eukaryota; Viridiplantae; Streptophyta; Bryopsida; Funariales; Funariaceae
Description: long non-coding RNA (PPAT_LNC002375)
Source: RNAcentral
AGCUAGCAGUGACAUGUUAGCCAGAGAGGUCAGUCAGGGACAGGGAGGUCGGUACAGGCUGGUAGGUAGAUGGUUAUCAUGAGGAAGCUACACACUGCGGGGCCCUACCCUGAUGGGGUGGCCAAGCAGUAGCCAGGAGGUAGGUACUUCCAAAACCUGUAGUCUAGCCCAGAAAGCAAGAUAAGCUUUUGGUAAGAAAUUGAAAGCAGGGCUACUCUUGCUAGCCUGGCAGGCAAGCAAGGCUCAAGGACAAGGCCUUACUGCCCUCUCUCCUCUCCUCCCUCCCCUUUCCCUUUCCCUUGCCUGUGUACAAAACUUGAUGUGACAACAAGCAAUAAAGGCCAUCCUCCUUCCCCUCUACCCCACUCCAUUCUACUAGCUUGCUUCCAUCCAUGUCCCAGAGGAGGAGGAGGAGGAGGAGGAGGGAGGGAGGGAGGGAGGGAGGGCUCUGCCACCUUUGCCUGCCCAGUCCAGGGUGUGAGAUGGGUGGGUAAGCAAGCAACCAAG